UUUAUUGGAGAGUUUGAUCCUGGCUCAGGAUGAACGCUGGCGGCGUGCCUAAUACAUGCAAGUCGAGCGAAUGGAUUAAGAGCUUGCUCUUAUGAAGUUAGCGGCGGACGGGUGAGUAAC
This 120-nucleotide ribosomal RNA is filed under the name Bacillus cereus. RNAcentral describes it as "partial 16S ribosomal RNA". It matches the Rfam family "Bacterial small subunit ribosomal RNA", at positions 1 to 114 of the family's 1533-position model. Lineage: Bacteria; Bacillati; Bacillota; Bacilli; Caryophanales; Bacillaceae. The record is from RNAcentral. RNAcentral also lists the same sequence under 1 other name.